This 72-nucleotide transfer RNA is filed under the name Camelus dromedarius (Arabian camel). It matches the Rfam family "tRNA". Rfam says of the family: Transfer RNA (tRNA) molecules are approximately 80 nucleotides in length. Their secondary structure includes four short double-helical elements and three loops (D, anti-codon, and T loops). The record is from Rfam by way of RNAcentral. Lineage: Eukaryota; Metazoa; Chordata; Mammalia; Artiodactyla; Camelidae. RNAcentral also lists the same sequence under 1 other name.
GAGGGUAUAGCUCAGUAGUAGAGUGCAUGCUUAGCAUGCACGAGGUCCUGAGUUCAAUCCCCAGUACCUCCA